This 408-nucleotide ribosomal RNA is filed under the name Triticum aestivum (bread wheat). RNAcentral describes it as "partial small subunit ribosomal RNA". The record is from RNAcentral. Lineage: Eukaryota; Viridiplantae; Streptophyta; Magnoliopsida; Poales; Poaceae.
AUGCCGCUCUUUUCCCUGAACACCCAUGAGAGCACCGCCACGCUGCGAGGAGAGCAAGUCGACGUGCCUAUGCGGGCUGCAAAAAUGGAGGGCCUCGCCAAAUCGGAUGUUGUGUCUUGCUCAAGCACGUCAUUAAUGUGUGUUGGACAUGGACUCCACAUGGAACACUCUCUUUGCCACAUCAAAGAUGGCCUCAAGCCCCUAUAUGGAAGUGUCCAGUCUUGCCGUUCUACCAUUUUCUCUGGAACAACGAUGUACAACUUUGACGGAACACGGACCAUCAGUGCUCCAUCUGAGAUUGUAAACCAGUUUUUUAUCGGGGCCAGUUUUCCGGUUGGAAGGAAGAAACUCCACUCGCUGGGAGGACUUGGUGGUAAUUUACAAGAUCGUGCAGCAUUUUUCAUGUAA